GAUGAAGAACGCAGCGAAAUGCGAUAAGUAAUGUGAAUUGCAGAAUUCCGUGAAUCAUCGAAUCUUUGAACGCACAUUGCGCCCCCUGGCAUUCCGGGGGGCAUGCCUGUCCGAGCGUCAUUUCUGCCCUCAAGCACGGCUUGUGUGUUGGGUGUGGUCCCCCCGGGGACCUGCCCGAAAGGCAGCGGCGACGUCCGUCUGGUCCUCGAGCGUAUGGGGCUCUGUCACUCGCUCGGGAAGGACCUGCGGGGGUUGGUCAACACUAUAUUUUACCACGGUUGACCUCGGAUCAGGUAGGAGUUACCCGCUGAACUUAAGCAUAUCAAUAAGCGGAGGA
This 337-nucleotide unclassified non-coding RNA is filed under the name soil metagenome. Its description in RNAcentral is "partial contains 5.8S ribosomal RNA, internal transcribed spacer 2, and large subunit ribosomal RNA". The stretch from base 1 to 120 matches the Rfam family "5.8S ribosomal RNA", at positions 35 to 154 of the family's 154-position model. The record is from RNAcentral.